This 506-nucleotide ribosomal RNA is filed under the name uncultured bacterium. RNAcentral describes it as "partial 16S ribosomal RNA". It matches the Rfam family "Bacterial small subunit ribosomal RNA", at positions 29 to 523 of the family's 1533-position model. The record is from RNAcentral.
AUUGAACGCUGGCGGCAGGCCUAACACAUGCAAGUCGAGCGGUAGCACAAGGGAGCUUGCUCCCCGGGUGACGAGCGGCGGACGGGUGAGUAAUGUCUGGGAAACUGCCUGAUGGAGGGGGAUAACUACUGGAAACGGUAGCUAAUACCGCAUAACGUCGCAAGACCAAAGUGGGGGAACUUCGGGCAUCACGCCAUCCGAUGUGCCCAGAUGGGAUUAGCUAGUAGGUGGGGUAACGGCUCACCUAGGCGACGAUCCCUAGCUGGUUGGAGAGGAUGACCAGCCACACUGGAACUGAGACACGGUCCAGACUCCUACGGGAGGCAGCAGUGGGGAAUAUUGCACAAUGGGCGCAAGCCUGAUGCAGCCAUGCCGCGUGUGUGAAGAAGGCCUUCGGGUUGUAAAGCACUUUCAGCGAGGAGGAAGGCGUUAAGGUUAAUAACCUUGACGAUUGACGUUACUCGCAGAAGAAGCACCGGCUAACUCCGUGCCAGCCGCCGCCGUAA